Molecule: non-coding RNA, 201 nt
Organism: Pelobates cultripes (western spadefoot toad)
Lineage: Eukaryota; Metazoa; Chordata; Amphibia; Anura; Pelobatidae
Source: the annotation of a GenBank genome assembly
GGCGCCUUUCCGUAAAACUGGAACCUGAAGUGUUGUUGUAAAUGGCUUCCGCGUUUCAAAAUGGGUUCCAGCAGGCAUAUUGAAUGUGUAUCACCCUGGUCGUCAUGGAAACCAGACGUGUAAGUUCAGCCACAAUGAUGGAAAUCAAAUAAAAACUAAUCAAAGCUCUGGGACUCUGCUAGAAAGAUAUAUAAUAAUAAC